This is a transfer RNA of Toxocara canis (dog roundworm), 72 nucleotides long. It matches the Rfam family "tRNA". Rfam says of the family: Transfer RNA (tRNA) molecules are approximately 80 nucleotides in length. Their secondary structure includes four short double-helical elements and three loops (D, anti-codon, and T loops). The record is from Rfam. Lineage: Eukaryota; Metazoa; Nematoda; Chromadorea; Rhabditida; Toxocaridae.
GUCUCAUUGGCUCAGGGGCAGAGCGUCUGUCUAGUAAACAGGAGGUCGCUGGUUCGAUUCCAGCAUGAGGCA